RNAcentral lists this transfer RNA (76 nucleotides) under Candidatus Cloacimonadota bacterium. Its description in RNAcentral is "tRNA-Val". It matches the Rfam family "tRNA". From Rfam's summary of the family: Transfer RNA (tRNA) molecules are approximately 80 nucleotides in length. Their secondary structure includes four short double-helical elements and three loops (D, anti-codon, and T loops). Further hydrogen bonds mediate the characteristic L-shaped molecular structure. tRNAs have two regions of fundamental functional importance: the anti-codon, which is responsible for specific mRNA codon recognition, and the 3' end, to which the tRNAs corresponding amino acid is attached (by aminoacyl-tRNA synthetases). tRNAs cope with the degeneracy of the genetic code in two manners: having more than one tRNA (with a specific anti-codon) for a particular amino acid; and 'wobble' base-pairing, i.e. permitting non-standard base-pairing at the 3rd anti-codon position. RNAcentral also lists the same sequence under 1 other name. The record is from RNAcentral. Lineage: Bacteria; Pseudomonadati; Candidatus Cloacimonadota.
GGGCGUUUAGCUCAGUUGGGAGAGCGCCUGCCUUACAAGCAGGUGGUCGGGGGUUCAAGUCCCUCAACGCCCACCA